UGGGGAAUUUUGGACAAUGGGCGAAAGCCUGAUCCAGCAAUGCCGCGUGUGUGAAGAAGGCCUUCGGGUUGUAAAGCACUUUUGUCCGGAAAGAAAUCCUUGGCUCUAAUGCAGUCGGGGGAUGACGGUACCGGAAGAAUAAGCACCGGCUAACUACGUGCCAGCAGCCGCGGUAAUACGUAGGGUGCAAGCGUUAAUCGGAAUUACUGGGCGUAAAGCGUGCGCAGGCGGUUUGCUAAGACCGAUGUGAAAUCCCCGGGCUCAACCUGGGAACUGCAUUGGUGACUGGCAGGCUAGAGUAUGGCAGAGGGGGGUAGAAUUCCACGUGUAGCAGUGAAAUGCGUAGAGAUGUGGAGGAAUACCGAUGGCGAAGGCAGCCCCCUGGGCCAAUACUGACGCUCAUGCACGAAAGCGUGGGGAGCAAACAGGAUUAGAUACCCUGGUAGUCCACGCCCUAAACGAUGUCAACUAGUUGUUGGGGAUUCAUUUCCUUAGUAACGUAGCUAACGCGUGAAGUUGACCGCCUGGGGAGUACGGUCGCAAGAUU
Molecule: ribosomal RNA, 547 nt
Filed under: uncultured bacterium
Lineage: Bacteria
Description: partial 16S ribosomal RNA
Rfam family: Bacterial small subunit ribosomal RNA
Source: RNAcentral